Molecule: ribosomal RNA, 497 nt
Filed under: uncultured bacterium
Lineage: Bacteria
Description: partial 16S ribosomal RNA
Rfam family: Bacterial small subunit ribosomal RNA
Source: RNAcentral
GAUGAACGCUGGCGGCGUGCCUAAUACAUGCAAGUCGAGCGAACAGACGAGGAGCUUGCUCCUCUGACGUUAGCGGCGGACGGGUGAGUAACACGUGGAUAACCUACCUAUAAGACUGGGAUAACUUCGGGAAACCGGAGCUAAUACCGGAUAAUAUAUUGAACCGCAUGGUUCAAUAGUGAAAGACGGUUUUGCUGUCACUUAUAGAUGGAUCCGCGCCGCAUUAGCUAGUUGGUAAGGUAACGGCUUACCAAGGCAACGAUGCGUAGCCGACCUGAGAGGGUGAUCGGCCACACUGGAACUGAGACACGGUCCAGACUCCUACGGGAGGCAGCAGUAGGGAAUCUUCCGCAAUGGGCGAAAGCCUGACGGAGCAACGCCGCGUGAGUGAUGAAGGUCUUCGGAUCGUAAAACACUGUUAUUGGGGAAGAACAAAUGUGUAAGUAUCUAUGCACGUCUUGACGGUACCUAAUCAGAAAGCCACGGCUAACUGCGUG